UAAUGGAAAUGAUUCUCUUGUCACCAUUUCGGUAUUUGGGGUGUUGCUGAUAAGCAACAGGAAGGACUUUGAGGAAGAAGUGACCAAAAGAACUGGACAUUUAAGGGAAUUUCAGGUAAAAAAAGGUGAGAUUUUGCCUUCCUCGAAAGUUGUAUUUCCUGAAAUUGUCACAGCCACCCCAGCCUUCAGCAAUCC
Molecule: non-coding RNA, 195 nt
Organism: Phascolarctos cinereus (koala)
Lineage: Eukaryota; Metazoa; Chordata; Mammalia; Diprotodontia; Phascolarctidae
Source: RefSeq, a predicted model, not a curated record